CAAAGAAAAAGUCUCUAAUGUGCAAUUUGAUAUUUUAGAAUUUAUUAAUUUAUGAUAAUAAUUUAUUAAAUUUAUGAUAUAUAAAUUAUUCACAAAAGUUUUACAAUGAAAAUAUCGCCUGGGGGAGUCCACCCCCUGCUUGCCAGCCCACGGGGGCCACUUUGCCAAUCCCGUUUUCUAUUACCCUUGCGCAAAAGCUAGCAGGUGCUAGCUGUCUUGGAGUGGUCUGAGGGUUGGUGAGCAGAGGCCUCGCUAGUUUUAUAUCAUCAUAUUUUUUAAAAAUAAUUAAAAAAGAGCAAAUAAUAAAUACACUUGAAAACUACCACACUUUUCGAUUUUUGACAGGCAUGCUAGAAAAAGUAACUCGUACAAUUCAUCGAAAACAAUAUUUUCUAUGUGUUUUUCUUUUAAUUUGCAUUCUAUUUUAAUGCUCAUCUUUGUUGUACACUUCGACAGGGCUAUAUAUAAUUGUCCAUGUGUAAAUAUUGUUUCUUGAAUUUAUAAUCAAACCUAUUUUCUCAAAACUUUGACCUUGUGACUUAAGGUUAUAGCAAACAUUAGAUGGACUAUGAAUUGCAACUGUUUCAAAACAAAGGGCAUUUCAAUAUAUCCUUGUGUGUCUAAACAUUUUUAACGGGAUGUACACAAUAUCUCCCUUUUUUAUUCCCAGUUAACAUUUCACAGUACUAUUAAUUUUUCUUGCUAUCAAACGAUUCCCAUUAUACAAACCAUCUCCUAAUAAUUUUAAUAAAUUUCUCAAUAGCAUAACAUCCUUCUUUUUAAGUGCAGUUCUGCAGAAGGCAAACCUGAAGGUGUCAUUAAUUCUCUCUAGCUCUACUCAGCAUGAUCUAUGUACCAGACUGUACGCGCUCGGAUCUGGUGAGGUCUAAUCGAGCAGGGGGCGGUGGAACGGACUCUGACGGCACUGACCAAAUACACUUAACAAUUUUCCCUGAUAAAUCUAAUGGAUAAAACUCUGCAAUUGGGGGCCGCGGUAGCCGAGUGGUUAAGGCAUCAGACUCUCGGCUAAUAAAUCCUGCGGUCGUGGGUUCGAUCCCCAUUGUCGCCUCUGGACUUGUUCUGAUGCCUAAGGGGACCGCAACUGAAAGAAAUUGACACGGCACUGAAUUUGGUCCCAACCCCCUUCAAAAAUGAGUUUCUUCGAUGGAAGAACACCGGC
Molecule: long non-coding RNA, 1180 nt
Organism: Cimex lectularius (bed bug)
Lineage: Eukaryota; Metazoa; Arthropoda; Insecta; Hemiptera; Cimicidae
Exons: 3
Source: RefSeq, a predicted model, not a curated record